CGCAAGCCUGACGGAGCAAUACCGCGUGGGGGAUGACGGUCUGUGGAUUGUAAACCCCUUUUCUCUAGGAAGAAGUUCUGACGGUACUAGAGGAAUCAGCAUCGGCUAACUCCGUGCCAGCAGCCGCGGUAAGACGGAGGAUGCAAGCGUUAUCCGGAAUUAUUGGGCGUAAAGCGUCCGUAGGCGGUCAUUUAAGUCAGUUGUUAAAGACUGCAGCUCAACUGUGGGAGAGCAACUGAAACUGAGAGACUAGAGUACGGUAGGGGUAGAGGGAAUUCCCAGUGUAGCGGUGAAAUGCGUAGAUAUUGGGAAGAACACCAGUGGCGAAGGCGCUCUACUGGGCCGAGACUGACGCUGAUGGACGAAAGCUAGGGGAGCG
Molecule: ribosomal RNA, 379 nt
Filed under: uncultured cyanobacterium
Lineage: Bacteria; Bacillati; Cyanobacteriota
Description: bacterial SSU rRNA
Rfam family: Bacterial small subunit ribosomal RNA
Source: RNAcentral